RNAcentral lists this ribosomal RNA (409 nucleotides) under uncultured bacterium. RNAcentral's name for it is "bacterial SSU rRNA". It matches the Rfam family "Bacterial small subunit ribosomal RNA", at positions 509 to 916 of the family's 1533-position model. The record is from RNAcentral.
CAGCAGCCGCGGUAAUACGUAGGGUGCGAGCGUUAAUCGGAAUUACUGGGCGUAAAGGGUGCGCAGGCGGUUAUAUAAGACAGAUGUGAAAUCCCCGGGCUCAACCUGGGAACUGCGUUUGUGACUGUAUGACUAGAGUACGGUAGAGAGGGGUGGAAUUCCUGGUGUAGCAGUGAAAUGCGUAGAUAUCANGAGGAACAUCGAUGGCGAAGGCAGCCCCUUGGACCUGUACUGACGCUCAUGCACGAAAGCGUGGGGAGCAAACAGGAUUAGAUACCCUGGUAGUCCACGCCCUAAACGAUGAUCACUAGUUGUUCGGAAAGGUGACUUUCUGANUAACGUAGCUAACGCGUGAAGUGAUCCGCCUGGGGAGUACGGUCGCAAGAUUAAAACUCAAAGGAAUUGACGG